RNAcentral lists this ribosomal RNA (431 nucleotides) under uncultured rumen bacterium. Its description in RNAcentral is "bacterial SSU rRNA". It matches the Rfam family "Bacterial small subunit ribosomal RNA", at positions 354 to 776 of the family's 1533-position model. The record is from RNAcentral.
GUGGGGAAUAUUGGACAAUGGGGGGAACCCUGAUCCAGCCAUGCCGCGUGUGUGAAGAAGGCCUUUUGGUUGUAAAGCACUUUAAGCGAGGAGGAGGCUUACCUGGUUAAUACCCGGGAUAAGUGGACGUUACUCGCAGAAUAAGCACCGGCUAACUCUGUGCCAGCAGCCGCGGUAAUACAGAGGGUGCAAGCGUUAAUCGGAUUUACUGGGCGUAAAGCGCGCGUAGGUGGCUAAUUAAGUCAAAUGUGAAAUCCCCGAGCUUAACUUGGGAAUUGCAUUCGAUACUGGUUAGCUAGAGUAUGGGAGAGGAUGGUAGAAUUCCAGGUGUAGCGGUGAAAUGCGUAGAGAUCUGGAGGAAUACCGAUGGCGAAGGCAGCCAUCUGGCCUAAUACUGACACUGAGGUGCGAAAGCAUGGGGAGCAAACAGG